CAUUAAGAAGCUAGAACAGCAUUAACCUUUUAAGUUAACUAUCGAGAGUAUUAACCCUCUCCUUAAUGA
This 69-nucleotide transfer RNA is filed under the name Neotetracus sinensis (Shrew gymnure). Its description in RNAcentral is "tRNA-Lys". The record is from RNAcentral. Lineage: Eukaryota; Metazoa; Chordata; Mammalia; Eulipotyphla; Erinaceidae.